CAGUCGCCGCGGUAAUACGAAGGGUGCAAGCGUUAAUCGGAAUUACUGGGCGUAAAGCGUGCGUAGGCGGUUUGUUAAGUCUGUUGUGAAAUCCCCGGGCUCAACCUGGGAAUGGCAAUGGAUACUGGCAAGCUAGAGUGUGUCAGAGGAUGGUGGAAUUCCCGGUGUAGCGGUGAAACGCGUAGAGAUCGGGAGGAACAUCAGUGGCGAAGGCGGCCAUCUGGGACAACACUGACGCUGAGGCACGAAAGCGUGGGGAGCAAACAGGAUUAGAUACCCCAGUAGUCCCUGUCUCUUAUAU
This 301-nucleotide ribosomal RNA is filed under the name uncultured bacterium. RNAcentral describes it as "partial 16S ribosomal RNA". It matches the Rfam family "Bacterial small subunit ribosomal RNA", at positions 509 to 809 of the family's 1533-position model. The record is from RNAcentral.